GUGUGUCCAGCGUCAUGGAUGUACUCACUUGCGUGUGUGUGUCCCGCGUCAUGGAUGUACUCACUUGCGUGUGUGUCCCGCGUCAUGGAUGUACUCACUUGCGUGUGUGUCCCGCGUCAUGGAUGUACUCACUUGCGUGUGUGUCCCGCGUCAUGGAUGUACUCACUUGCGUGUGUGUGUCCCGCGUCAUGGAUGUACCCACUUGCGUGUGUGUCCCGCGUCAUGGAUGUACCCACUUGCGUGUGUGUCCCGCGUCAUGGAUGUACUCACUUGCGUGUGUGUGUCCCGCGUCAUGGAUGUACUCACUUGCGUGUGUGUGUCCCGCGUCAUGGAUGUACUCACUUGCGUGUGUGUGUCCCGCGUCAUGGAUGUACUCACUUGCGUGUGUGUCCCGCGUCAUGGGUGUACUCACUUGCGUGUGUGUCCCGCGUCAUGGAUGUACUCACUUGCGUGUGUGUCCCGCGUCAUGGGUGUACUCACUUGCGUGUGUGUCCCGCGUCAUGGAUGUACUCACUUGCGUGUGUGUCCCGCGUCAUGGAUGUACUCACUUACCUGUGUGUGUCCAGCGUCAUGGAUGUACUCACUUGACUGUGUGUCCCGCGUCAUGGAUGUACCCACUUACCUGUGUGUGUCCCGCGUCAUGGAUGUACUCACUUGCGUGUGUGUCCAGCGUCAUGGAUGUACUCACUUGACUGUGUGUCCCGCGUCAUGGAUGUACCCACU
This 723-nucleotide long non-coding RNA is filed under the name Rattus norvegicus (Norway rat). RNAcentral's name for it is "long non-coding RNA NONRATT018671". Lineage: Eukaryota; Metazoa; Chordata; Mammalia; Rodentia; Muridae. The record is from RNAcentral.